Long non-coding RNA from Rosa rugosa (rugosa rose), 1467 nucleotides. RefSeq lists it as uncharacterized. NCBI's taxonomy places the organism in Eukaryota, Viridiplantae, Streptophyta, Magnoliopsida, Rosales, Rosaceae. The record is from RefSeq and is a predicted model, not a curated record. The transcript has 6 exons.
UUUCUUGUAUGUUGUGUGACAUUUUUACAUACAAUUGGUCUUUAAUUUAUAUUGUCUGUUUUUAGGAUCAAAAUAGGGUCAAAACUCAAUUGUUUUACUCCAUCCAUUGAAUUUGCCCGCCCAUUUUUUGGCCAAAAUUUAAACUUCCCCCUUUUCACCAAACCCCUUGUUUUAAUUUGGGAAAGGAAAAAAGGUUCAGAUGCAGAAGGAGGCCCAACACUCGAGAGUUCCCCAAUCUCUCUCCUCCGCCUCUACAAAAAUCGGAGACCAGCCUUUUGGCCUUAUUUCGACACCGCCACCAUCAAACGACGGCACAUAGAGCGGGGAGAAAACCCCAGCCAACCCGUCGCUAGUUUCAGUUCUCCACUCUCUCUUAAUCAAAGCCAUCAGAUUCGCCUCACCAAAUUGAAAAGAGAUAGUCAUCUUCCACUGUCCCCUUCUAGAAGAAAGAUGCAGGGAAGAGAGCGGCCCAGAGUGGCCUAAGAUUCGUCAUCUUUCAUUCAUCACGAUUAGUUGGAAAUAUUGAAAUCGAGAAUUGACCAACACAGAGUACAAUAAGUUUCUUGAAGUGCCGACAUCGAGACAAAUAAGGUAUGUUCUUCAAACAUGCUACCACUACCCUUUUCAAUGCAUUAAACCCUUCCCCUUCUUGAUUACUUGGCAAAGGCUCAGAAGGUUUUUAUUUUUUUUAUGCUAAUAUGAGAGGAGUCUUUGGUUGGUGGAAGUUGCAGAGAGAUAGAAGUUCCUCUAUGAUAGUCUACCUAACUGAUUUGCGGCGUGCGAGCUUCAGCUGUGGAAUCCUAAGGCUCCUCUAAUUUCGUUAAUCGCAUGGGGAAAGCUUGGUUAAUCUCUAAGCAACCAAGGCCAGUUGCAACUCAAAUGGGCAUAUUGAAUGCAAAUGGGAUAAGUUGGGAUUUUAGAUUAGAUUCAGCAACUCACAUACUUGCUAUUGUGAUACUAAGCUGGCAUGAUGUAGAAGCUAUCUAGGCUACAAUGGAGUUUGGUGAAUUCUAGUUUGUAGUUACGUACGGAAGUGAAAUGGCUGAAUAUUCCAAGUGAGGUGGUGGGUGCUUGUUGUCUUGAUUUACAUUACAAGCUCUCAAGAUGAUCGAAUACUUGCUGUGGUUUUUUAUGUUAUAGUACUGGGAGUGAAAACUUGGUGUGCAAUGCAACUUUGGGAGUAGAGAAGAAAAACUCUGGACAUCUCAACUUGACAGAAUGCUAAAGAAGCAGAGAAUGAGAAAAUACCAUUGAUCAGGUUAGCAACUGGAGGUUGUGCAGCUGUAGAACCAUUUCCUGCUAUAAAUCCAUCUCGAAUCCUCCUUGCAAUGCCUCAAGCUUCAGUUAGUUGUAGUUGAAAUGUACCAUCAAUUCAGAAUAGAAUUUUGGGAUGAAUACUGUGUUGAUGUUAUUGGGAUGAAUAUUGAUAGUGGAAUAUUGUAGAUCUUGUUGGAUAAAUGGAACCCU